Molecule: RNA transcript, 4907 nt
Organism: Bolinopsis microptera
Lineage: Eukaryota; Metazoa; Ctenophora; Tentaculata; Lobata; Bolinopsidae
Gene name: MOB-like protein phocein
Exons: 5
Source: RefSeq, a predicted model, not a curated record
UUGUAGUAGAUGUUUGGUAAUGUUAUGUCGGCGGUUAGUUACGACAAAACUGAGUAAGAGGAUCAAGCAACUGUCUCGGACCCGUAUCACAUUUUCCUAUGACCGGGAUCUCGAAGUUCUGCGGCCGUUUAACAAGUUUCUGGUCAAAAUAAACUUCCCUGCUGAUCUUGCCAACAUCUUCCCUGCCCAGCUCAAAGAUCUUCUUCAACACAAACACGGCCUAGCCAACGCUGCCCUCAUAAAUUACGAAGAAUCAGUGGGUUACGUUAACUUUGUUAACGAAGAAUCCAAAGUUGACGCUGUCAACUCAAAAACAGACGAUACAUUUCCAUUCCAAUACUCAGUUGAAGACUAUGAUCAUGUCAAACAUAUGAGAGGUGGGCGAGGAGAUCAGCCUCCAUUUGCAGGUACAAUCGGAGCUGCAUACCGUCCGAGUGUACAUCCUAUUGGAAGUAUGAUGAUGCGAUUCCUCCAAUACGGUCAUAUUACCGGAACUCAAAUAAUUCCCUGUCCCUACGAUUCAGAUCGAGCGUUUUUCUACUGUAAUUAUUACCGUUUUAAAGAAAGUGAUGCUGCCAGUGAAGCCUUGUCAACAAUCCCGGGACACGCUAUUUCACAGCAUUCAGAUGCUGAGGAUGUGCUAGUGUGGCGGAACAUGGACGAAGAUGUCCGCAGUUACGGACAACGCGUUAAUGUGCAAUGUCAUCACGAGUUCUCGGACGAUUUACUGGCCGAGAUUCUGGAAUAUCUGAAACAUUACGGUGAAAUUGAGAGUAUACACCUAAAGGUGCCGUCCGAACUGAACGUCAAGUUCAAGUAUUCCCGAUCAGUUUUCCAAAUGUUCUAUGAUAUAACGUGGUAUGGUAGAAUUAAAAAGACUCUCGAAAAAUCCGGGACAGAGAUAGCCGUAAAGGUUGAUAGUGUUUCCCACAAGAUAAAACAGGCACACUCCAUAAAAUUCACCUCAGUUCCCAAACACGUAGCAGACGCUCACACGUACAUAUCAAACCUCCUAGACCUAGCUGUAUGUAACCCUGGUGUACUCACCACAAGUCAUAACGAUAAGACUAAAAUAGCGUGGGUUACAAUGCCCCAUCCAUGGUACGUACGGGACGUCAGUUGUAAGGUUCAUCAGUUUCUCAGUUCGGGAGAUGCCCCUAAAGAGUAUGCAGGGUUAGGAGUUGUGGUGAGGAGUCCGUUUUGGCAGAGCGAGUAUAUGGAUAGGGUAGAUGAGGACUUACAGAAAGAAAAGAGAAAGAAAAAUGAGACUGCUAGUUGACGGUGAUGUGGGUUUUUAAAUGUGGGGUCUAGGUGUUUGGGACCGUUGAUGAUAGGUCUUUACUCUUUAUGUCAAUGGUUAUUAAUUUUAUUGAUAAACUCUGAUAUUGACCUUAUUAUUUAUCGGCAUCUAUGGUAUUCAUUUAAUUUAUUCCCACGAACAAGCUUGUAUAAUAAUUUGAUGUUUAUGUUUCUACUGCGCAGAUUAUCUUGCAUCUUGGCAUAUUUGCAUUCGCUCCUUAUAUGCCUGAAUUUGCAUCGAGCACUGUAUUCAAUUUUACCAGGUAACUUGGCUAUUUAUAAUUUUGCAAAUUGGAGAUUUUAAAGUUUACAGUUUUGGCAGGCAAAUUUUUAUAAAUUAUCGUAUUCCUAUUGUAUUUCUUUAUCAGCUAAACACAGGAUAUAAAAUACUCGCACCCGUUUGGAAUGCAAUAACCAAAAUCAAAAUUAUUCCCUCGGAAGUUUAUUUUACAUAUUAUUAUAAUCAAUACUUAAAUUUAUUGCAAAGUAUGAAUCUUGAUCUAACCAUUUACCUCAGGAAUAUAAGUCUGGCCUGUAUCUUGACUAACCUCUUAACCAUGUCUCGUUGUAACAGAAGAAUACUACAGCGGUCACCUUCUUUAUGUAGCAUACGAAGACUGUCCUCAGCUGCAAAUACAAAUACCAAGAUUUUUUACAACGACGAUCUAGACGUGUUCAGACCGUUCAACAACAUUGUAAAACUUAAGUUCGACUCUUCCACUUCGUCACUCAAUUCUGAAACCGGAUACAUGGAUCAAUCUCCUAAAUUGAUCUCUGAACGACUAUCAACAUACGGUUCUGUCAAUGGUCAGUUCAUUUGUGAUCGUGGCAAAACAGGCUACUUUAACUUCGCCAGCCGUGCAGCAAAAGAAGACGCACUAAAAGCGUCGCCACGAGACACCAUGUCUUUCUACGAAAUGGAAGACUACACAGUGGGACAGAGUCGUGACAAACACGAACUACGGCCCUUCAGAUACGUGGUGUGCGCGGCAUAUCGGCCCAGCAUCCACUCAACCAGCAGAAUCAUCAGAUAUCUGGACAAGUUUGGGACAAAUGCCGGCAGAGAGCUGGUCCACUGUCCGUACGAUCCGGACAGGUUGUUCAUGUAUCUUGCUUACACUGAUAAGAGAGUGCUGUCAGACCCGGGUAUGAGUGGUAGGAACAGCAACAUCAAGGGGGGCGAUGUGGCCCGGGAUUAUCAGGAGAUGGGGUCUGGUGUACUUUGUAACGAUGUGUUCUUGUUUCCGUUUACUGGCCAUAAAGUUAGAAUGUAUCGGACUAACGUGGAUGUUUUGACACGUGGUGUCAGUUUGUCUGUACUCAGGGAAUAUUUGUCUGAAAAGUACGGUGAUGUUAGUAGAGUUAAGAAUGUUCGGGAGUGCGGGGAAGGGAUACAUUACGAUGUUUCAUUCAAAGAUAAGUACUUUGCAUACAGGAUUCUGUAUCAGAAAACUCAUUAUGGCCGAAUUAUCGAAACUAUACCAAGUACAUCAGAUCAGAUUUAUAUCAGCCAACCACAAGCUCAUAAAGAAGUAUGGAUGCAACAUUCUUUGAGACUUUAUCAAGUUCCUGAGAUUCCUGAUGAACAUGUUUUUAGUUAUCUUGACGAUUUCUUGGACCGCUUGGGUUGCAAUCCAGGGUAUUGUGGCUGUGGCCCGUAAGCAGGGUGCAAAAUCGAUCUUCUAUGAGCUGUAUUUCGCUAAUCCUUGGCACACUUUUGAUGUGUACCAUCGUAUCAUGCAGUCAAAAGUGAAUGGUUUUGAUCAUGGAUUUUUUUGCAGUGUUAAUAAAGGUUGGAAUGAUGGAAAGAAUUUUUAUGAGGAUGUUAAAGAAUACUUAGUUUGAAUUACUUCCGCUUUGACACAAAACGAUGAAUUAUGUUUUGUUUAUCUUGUGUUUUAGAAUAUUUAAAAGAAUCGUUAACUCAGCUAUGAAAAUAUUCUAAAAUAAUUCAACGAUUAAUUCAACUCAAGAUAUAACUUUAAAUUAUUAAACUCUUAAAUUAUUUUAAUCACUGCUUAAAUAAAACAGCUCUGCAGAUGAUUUAAAGUCCUCCCCUCAUAAACUCCAUCUACAAAAAAAAGCUGGUUGGUAACUGAAUGGCUCUGUAUGGCUCUCACCUUACGUCUCACUGAACGAACUGUGUUCCCUAGUUACUGUUGCAAGCGCUUCCUCAGACGCCAGUUCUUCUACAAUGAUGAUCUGAAAAUAUUCCGGCCAUUCAACAAUACUGUCGAGGUGAAAUUAAAGAACUCCGCCGCUCUGAGCACUUCAGAAGAUGUUGAACAAACAUCCGACUUCAUUAACAAACAGCUAUCAACUUGUGGUUCUGUCAAUGGACACUGUAUUCUCAGGGAACGUAAAACUGGUUAUUUCAAUUUUUCUAGUCCUCAUGAAAAAGUGGAAGCUCUAAAAACGUUCAGAAAAGGUGAUCAAUCCCUACCUUUUUCAGAGAUACGAAACUUUGAAUUCGGCCGUUAUAAUUAUCACCGUUAUCAUAGACCCUUUAGGUAUUUAAUGAUUGCAGCCUACCGGCCUAGCAUCCACUCAUCUUGUAGAAUACUCAAAUAUUUAGAACAAUUUGGAAUUAGCAAUGGCAGGGAAGUCGCCCACUGUCCAUACGAUGAAGACAGACGAUUCUUGUACUUUUCAUAUCGUCAGAGAAGUAGCCUGACUCAUCCAAGCAUUUCUCAUAGAAACUGUUUCAUUAAGGGCAGUGAAGUUUGUAAGAAGAUAUAAGGUUGGAAACAGAUGAAACAAGUAAUGAUGUGUACCUUUAUCCUUUUACUGAACAUGAUGAGAGUAGAUACAAGAAAAUGAUACUUGUCCGUGCGGAAAAUACUCGUUUUACCGGUCGAGUUAAAAACUAUUUUGAUCUCAAGUAUGAUAAAAUGGUGGAGACGGUAGAGAAGAUCGGCAGCGAUGACCACGGUCUCAGAUUCUGGUCACAUUCCGUGACAGUUACCCCGUUUACAGAAUGUUUUACCCUAAAACUCCAUUCGGCCAAGUUUGUGAAACUUUUCCAGAUACUCCCGAUCAGCUCUAUAUCACCACACCAAACCUACCUAAAAGCAUAUGGAAGCACAACUACCUGCGUUUAUUCAACGUUCCUCCUAUCACCGAGGGAGAAGAUGUUCUAGAGUUUUUCAAUGACUUUCUGGACAGAAACAAAUGUAAUCCGGGGAUUGUUGCCGUGUCUCAAUCCGCUGCAUCGUACUUUUCCCUGAAUCUCCGGAACAGAAUCCGGGAUAGUCCGGAAAUGCUUAACUCAAAACAGCUGACUGACACAUAUUAUGAAAUUUAUUUCGCUAAUCCUUGGCACGCUGUGGAUGUGUGCCAGCGACUCAUACUGUUGAAGGAAGAUGGUGGACACGAUUUUCACUGUGCUGUUGAUUUUUCUUUGUAUAGUUCUGUUAAGAAGUAUUUGAAUGUGUAGGGGCAAUGAAUUUAGUGGUAGGAAAGGGAGCAAGUGGAGUUUUAUAGUGACCCUAAUGGUGGAUCCCUUGUUUUCUUUUGUGCGAUCUGUUUUUAAUUCAAAUUAUAUUUAAUUUUUGAUGUUUGUAUCUUGUUGUAGGUAAUUUAUUUUUACUAUUAGUUCAGAUGUAUCC